UUUUAAUUGAAGACUUGUAUGAAUGGUUGAACGAGAAAAUAACUGUCUCUUUAAAAAAUCUUGAACUUUACUUUUAAGUGAAAAGGCUUAAAUAAUUUUAAGGGACGAUAAGACCCUAUAAAUCUUUAUAUUAUUUUUCUUUAAAUUUCAAAUUAUACAUUAAAAGAAAUAAAAGAAAAAAAUAUUAUAUUGGGGAGAUAAAAAUAUAAUUUUUAACUGUUUUAAAAAUAAAACAAUAAUUUUUGAUUAAAAAAAAAAUGAUCCUUUUUAAAGAUUUAAAGAUUAAGUUACUUUAGGGAUAACAGCGUAAUUUUUUUUGAGAGUUCUUAUCGAAAUAAAAGUUUGCGACCUCGAUGUUGAAUUAAAAUAUCCUUAUAAGUGCAGAAGCUAUAA
RNAcentral lists this ribosomal RNA (393 nucleotides) under Aegla uruguayana complex sp. 4 Barao do Triunfo Grande. Its description in RNAcentral is "partial large subunit ribosomal RNA". RNAcentral also lists the same sequence under 17 other names. The record is from RNAcentral. Lineage: Eukaryota; Metazoa; Arthropoda; Malacostraca; Decapoda; Aeglidae.